GACGAACGCUGGCGGCGUGCCUAACACAUGCAAGUCGAACGGAAGUAAGUGCUUCGGUAUUUACUUUAGUGGCGAACGGGUGAGUAACGCGUGAGGAACCUGCCUUUCAGUGGGGGACGAACAGUUGGAACGACUGCUAAUACCGCAUAAGCCCACAGCUCGGCAUCGAGCAGAGGGAAAGGAGUGAUCCGCUUUGAGAUGGCCUCGCGUCCGAUUAGCUAGUUGGUGAGGUAACGGCCCACCAAGGCGACGAUCGGUAGCCGGACUGAGAGGUUGAACGGCCACAUUGGGACUGAGACACGGCCCACG
Molecule: ribosomal RNA, 309 nt
Filed under: uncultured bacterium
Lineage: Bacteria
Description: bacterial SSU rRNA
Rfam family: Bacterial small subunit ribosomal RNA
Source: RNAcentral